RNAcentral lists this ribosomal RNA (699 nucleotides) under Triticum aestivum (bread wheat). RNAcentral describes it as "partial small subunit ribosomal RNA". The record is from RNAcentral. Lineage: Eukaryota; Viridiplantae; Streptophyta; Magnoliopsida; Poales; Poaceae.
UUAAGUUGGAAUUGUCGCGGCGCGGGGAACACCACGACUGUUGGUGAGCUAGUUUCCCUGGUUAAAAUCAACAAUCCUAGCAUUGUUUUUCUUUGUGAAACUUGCCAGAAAAAAGAAAAAAUGCAUCGCCUGCGGAAUAGGUUGGGUCUUCGUGGUUUCGAAGGAGUUAGUAGUGAUGGCCUUAGUGGAGGUCUUGCUAUGUAUUGGCAUGAGAGUCUGUCAAUUGAAAUAAAAUCUAGCUGCAGCAGGUACAUCGAUGCCUAUGUUCAUGAUGGGAUGGAUAAAACCCCGUGGCGAUUGACAUGUGUUUACGGUGAGCCAAGAACAGAGAAUCGACACUACAUGUGGGAGACUAUCCAAAAACUGCGAGCUGAAUCUGAUUUGCCGUGGCUCCUGAUAGGGGACUUUAACGAGGUGUUGUGGCAGCUCGAGCACUUCUCAGCCACACCUCGCCCUGAAGCUCAAAUGGCGGCCUUCCGCGAAGUUCUCUCCGUAUGUUCUUUAACAGACUUGGGGUUUGCAGGCAUACCCUAUACUUAUGAUAACGGAAGACAAGUCAAAGCAAAUGUACGUGUUCGGCUGGACCGUGCACUCGCUGAUGACUCAUGGCGUGACAUUUUCUCGGAUGGGCAGACUGUCCAUCUAGUCUCACCGGCCUCUGAUCAUUGCCCCAUACUAGUCAAGCUCCUGCAGGAGUCU